UAUGGAUAAUUCGUUGUCUGGUUUAGCACAACUCCCUACCUUCCAAUAAAUGUCGGCCGCAAAUAGGUUUAUACCAUCCGAUUAUCAAAUAAGGUUGAGUGAGUUAUUACUAAGUUGGCAUUUUGAAUUAUCUAUUGCGUGUCAUAAAUUGUUACUUCCAAGAGAAUGAUGAUGACGAUAAAUUGUUUUAUGUAAGUUACUCUUUUCCCGUAGGAUAUGAUUUGAGUACAGUUAGAGCAGUGGUUUGGUCAGGGCUGUCGUGCCCCAGAAUCUUGCCGGUAUCCUAACCGACAGAUCAGACCACAAAAAGGAACCCAGAUCCAACGGCCCAAAAACACCCCGUUAUUUAUGGAAAAAAAAUCUGUCAGUUUUCAUUAUCCACAACAAUUAGCCACUCUCAGUACUAUCAUUAAUUCCACUCCCGUUUUCAAUAUCGCCACUCUUAUCUCUCCCAGCUCUGAGCUCCUCCAAUGGCCACCGUCCUCCGAAAUCCACCUUUACGAGCACCGUUAGCACCGCUUCCCGCCACCGUUUCGCCGAACCCUCCGAAAACUUCAUACGUUUCGUGCAGACAAGGCUCGAUCAGCACGCCGCCGUUUCUCACUCUCAGCUCUCUACGGUCAUCUCACUCGCCGUCCGUACGGUUCCUCAAGUUCGCGCCUUUAGCUUCCCUCCAUGAGACCCUAAGUGCCGAGACGGCGGAGGAGCUUCGAGAGCUCAAUGAGGUCGAGAUGUAUGCAGAGAUACUCGGUGGAGAACUAGCAGUGGAAACUCCUGCCUCAACAGUUUUGGAGAAAAUUUGUGGGAUCCUUUUGGUUACCAAGGAUAUUAAAUUCAUGAAGAGGCCAUUUGCAUGGGUAUCUGCAUUCUUAGUUGGACAAAGCUUAUGGCUGAUUUCUACUCCAAUGGCACAAUCACGUGAUAUUAUCAAACCAAACGCAAUUUAUGAGACAGCGGAGUUAUUUGAAUUAGGAAUCCAGCUAUCAUACUUGCUACUAUUGCUAGGUUUUCUUGGGGUUGGAACUUUCUUUGUGAUUCGUCAAGUGCUUGUACGUAGAGAACUUGAUCUUUCUGCCAAAGAAUUGCAGGAGCAAGUAAGAAGCUGGCGAUGCUGAUGCGACUGAGCUUUUUGAACUUGGAGCAGUAAUGCUAAGGAGGAAAAUUUAUCCAGCUGCUAUUAAGUACUUGGUUCAGGCAAUUGAGAAAUGGGAUGGGGACGACCAAGAUCUUGCUCAGGUUUACAAUGCCCUUGGUGUCAGUUACGUUCGUGAGGGUAAACUUGCUAAGGGAAUUACGCAGUUUGAAACUGCUGUGAAGCUUCAGCCAGGCUACGUCACAGCUUGGAACAACCUAGGUGAUGCGUAUGAAAAGAGGAAAGACUUUAAGGCUGCAUUGAAGGCAUUUGAAGAAGUUCUUCUGUUUGAUCCAAAUAACAAGGUAGCAAUACCGCGGCGGGAAACUUUGAUGGAACAAGUGAAAAUGUACAGAGAUGUUCCGGUAAAAACGAAGGAGAAGUCAUCUGACAGUAUGCGUUGACGGGAUUUUAUCAGCAACAGCUUAUGUAAGUUUUGCUUGGCUUUCUCAAAACAGUCGAUGGUUGUUGAGGUAUCAUUUGGUUUUUCCAUGGUCCAAGAUUUAGGCCUGACUUCUGUAGUCACAUUUUGUAUUGCCUAGCAUCGAAGUCUGUAAUUUUAUUCCGGAAACUUGAUUCGUAUGUAGGCGAGUAACGUUCUUUGUAUUGUAAGUGUUACAAAUAUAUUUUACAGACGGUUGUGCAGUUCAUAAAAUCGUGUUUACUGAUUAGCUAAAUAAAUCUGAUGAGGAUUACGGAA
Molecule: RNA transcript, 1832 nt
Organism: Pyrus x bretschneideri (Chinese white pear)
Lineage: Eukaryota; Viridiplantae; Streptophyta; Magnoliopsida; Rosales; Rosaceae
Gene name: tetratricopeptide repeat domain-containing protein PYG7, chloroplastic
Exons: 6
Source: RefSeq, a predicted model, not a curated record